Pseudophryne corroboree (corroboree frog) is the source of this 518-nucleotide long non-coding RNA. RefSeq lists it as uncharacterized. The transcript has 2 exons. NCBI's taxonomy places the organism in Eukaryota, Metazoa, Chordata, Amphibia, Anura, Myobatrachidae. The record is from RefSeq and is a predicted model, not a curated record.
AGACGCUUGCUUCUUGGUGCCUGUAGAGGGAGCUGCAGUGACAGCGCAGCACACAGCUCCUCUCAGGAGGUACUGUACUUAUACGUGAGGUGAAAGAGAAAAAGGCUGGUGAUGGUGAGGGCACUGGGUAGGCAGUGGAUGUGUCCAAUACUCUCACUGAAUCCAGCUGUUGUGUCAGCCGGUUGUGAAGUGAAAGGAUUACCAUGUUUAGUGUGAAGGAGGAAGAAAAAGAAACUGUAUUAUUAAAGAGGCAAAUCUGUAUUUUACUUGGAUGCUUACAAAUAAUCCUUUUGUUUCUUGACGGUCCUUGUAGCUAAGACAAACACAUUUGCAAAAGUAUCAUGUAGCUUCUGUUAAAGGUACAGUACGACUACGAACACAGCUUGUCCUUUUGUAAAAGCAUAAGACUAACAAUAAAAACAAGUCACUAUAAUGCAGUGGAUUUCAAGCUGUUACCUUCACUGUAACAGCAAAAAGAAAUAAAUCUGCACAGGAUAUAACGAUUUCAGUUCAGUGAA